UACGUAGGGAGCAAGCGUUGUCCGGAAUCAUUGGGCGUAAAGCGCGCGUAGGCGGCCCCGUAAGUCCGCUGUGAAAGUCAAAGGCUCAACCUUUGAAAGCCGGUGGAUACUGUGGGGCUAGAGUCCGGAAGAGGCGAGUGGAAUUCCUGGUGUAGCGGUGGAAUGCGCAGAUAUCAGGAGGAACGCCAAUAGCGAAGGCAGCUCGCUGGGACGGUACUGACGCUAAGGCGCGAAAGCGUGGGGAGCGAACAGG
This 253-nucleotide ribosomal RNA is filed under the name uncultured bacterium. Its description in RNAcentral is "partial 16S ribosomal RNA". It matches the Rfam family "Bacterial small subunit ribosomal RNA", at positions 524 to 776 of the family's 1533-position model. The record is from RNAcentral.